UUUUUUUUUUUUUUUUUUUUUCCAUUUCUUGGGCUGCUCCCGCGGCAUAUGGAGGUUCCCGGGCUAGGGGUCGAAUCAGAGCUGUAGCCGCCGGCCUACACCACUGCCACAGCAACACAGGAUCCGAGCCGCAUCUGCAACCUACCCACAGCUCACAGCAACGCUGGAUCCUUAACCCACUGAGCAAGGGCAAGGACCGAACCUGCAACCUCAUGGUUCCUAGUCGGAUUCAUUAACCGCUGAGCCACGACGGGAACUCCAAGAGCGUGACAUGUGCCCUGAACCUGUGAGAAUGGAGGCAUCUAAGCAAGAGAGCAGUGUGACAGGCGAAGCACUGUGGUUUUCCUUGAAAGUCCCAUUACAUCCGAAGAGAAUGAAAGCCUUGGAGUUCCUGUUGCGGCUUAGCGACUGGUGUCCAUGGGGCAGUGGAUUUGAUCCCUGGCCUCCAUCUGUGGGUUAGGGAUCCGGUGCUGCUGUGAGCGGUGGUGUCGGUCGCAGCCGCAGCUCAGAUCCAGCAGGGCUGUGGCUGUGGUGUAGGCCGGCAGCUGCAGCUCUGAUUCCAACUCUAGCCUGGGAAUGUGCGUGGGCCCCAGGGGCGGCCCUAAAAAGCCAACACGAGCCAAAGCCAAGAAAGAAUGGAAGCCUUAGACAUUGGCAGGACGCAGUAAAAUCGACUAUCAUGGGAAGAAUAAACAUCAUUUGAAAAGGAGAAAGCAAGCCUUGCUCCCUGCUUGUGCUGGGUGUGGGCGGGACCUGCCUGACUCAGAGGCUCACGCGGCGAGGGUGGGAAGGGGAGCCGGGGAAGGCAGGGCGUCAGGGUGGCAGACGCUGCAUCCGUCCUCCGCCCAGCGGCUUGUGCAGGAACCUGGAUGCUUCCCGGAGGCACCUCCGGGCUCCUGCGGCUGAUGGGAAGUGAGCGGUCAGACUCCGCGGGAAUGGGGUGGCCUCUGAGGAUGGCUCAGCCUUGUGGGGGCAGCGUGUGAGAGGACCACAGACAGGUGCUGAGGACACCGUGGGAAGAACCCGGACGCUGAGAAAAGCCCCGAGUCAGAAGGCACCUAGGCCAUACAGAACUCGACCGGCAGGGAGGUGUCACCCACAAGACAGAGGCGGCGCAAGGGGACCAGGGUCCCCUCCAGCUGGGGGAGGAGCCACCAUGAUGGCCGUGUCACUCCGCCGAUGAAGCCCCUUGAACGACUUGUAUUCGUCUUAAAGGCCAAACUCAGAGCAACUCAUAAAAUUCUGCACAGUCACGACUGCUGGCUCUCCAGACGGAACACGUGGCACCUCAGGCACAUGGCAACGUUUCCGAGACACCCUCUACUCCUUGCUGGCUCCCAGCUUUGUGCUGCCUUCUGCCUAGGACGCUUCCCGCCCCACACACCUCCCAGCUCUGGUCUACCUACCCCCGCCCCCGCCCCGUCCUUCGGAUUUUAGUUCAAACGCCCCCCAAGAUGAUGGGGUCUCCCAGGAUCUAUGACGACCUCACCGAAAGCUUUCCUUCCGGAGCACACAGACUGCUUCCUAACUACGAAUUCCAGCCGAUGGGUGCAGGUUCCUCAACCUCCCUGGAGCGUAAACCGCAGGAAGACAAAGGGCACGUCUGCUGUCUUUACACAACAUGCCCAGAACCUCCUUAAAUACCUGACGCUCAGUAUGGGCGAUAAAUACUUAAUAAACCGCUUGAUCCAGAAGACACUGUCUCCAGCACAAGGAGACAGAUGUCAUUCGCCUCAAGCCAUACAAUAUCCUGCCUUUUUUAUGGAUGGAGGGAACCUGACGGCAGAGCAGCCCCAGGAAGACGAUGUCAGCUUUCCUCAGAACCCAGUAUUUCUUAGUAUCUACAAAGCUAUUAAAAAAAAAUCAGUAUUUUUUAGUAUCUCAAAAGCUAUGACAAAUUAAUGACAUUAAUUUAAAAAACAUUAAUACAGCAAUAGGAAACAUGGGCUAAAUACAUGACAAGUACUUCACUAGCAAAAAAACAAACAAACAAACAAACAAAAACAAAUGGCCAUUAAACACACACAAAAAAGAUGAACUCCACAGUAAUCAGAGAAUAUGGAAAUACCAAGUAUGCCUCUAGUGCAGGGGUAAGACCUACAUAUACUUUCAAUGAAAUUAGUUUCAAUUUUUAAAAAUAAUUAAGAGGUACUAGUUGGAAUCUAAAAAACAAAAUAAGGGGACUCUCUUGUGGCACCGUGGGUUAAGGAUCCAGCCUUGUCACUGCAGCAGCUUGGGUUUGGUCCCAGGUCCAGGGACCUCCGCAUGCUGCAGAUGCAGCCAGAAAAAAAAAUUCAAAAAUAAAAAUAAAAACAGCAAACAAAACAGAAACAGACUCAUGGAGACAGAGAACAAGCUGAACAAAACAGGCGAAUGGAUUAAGAGGGAAAAGCUUUCAGUUAUAAAAUACUGAAGUCACAGGAAUAUCAUGCAUAAAAAAGGUAAAACGGUCAAUAAUAUUAAAAUAACUAAAUGGUAACAGAUGAUAAGUCUUACUGUGGUGACCAUCUCGUAAAGUACACAAAUGUGGAUUCACUAUACUGGACACCUGAACACACAGCAUGACAUUAAAUGGUGUGUGUCAAUUAUAUUGCAGUUUAAGAAAGAACUCUGUUAGGAAACCCUGACAGCUUUUACAUGGAGCAAGUAACAGAGGAUGAAGCUCACUGUCUAGGGACUCCAUCCCGGGAGUGGACCCAAUCUCCUGCUUACGACAACGGUAAACAAAAAGCAGUGGAUGAAAAGAUCCAAGUACCAACACGGUAAACAGGAAUUACCAGCCCAAAGAAACAAGAACAACGCAAGAGAGAAAAGAGCCCAGGAAAGAUGUUUUUGCUUGUCAGACAUCUGCUAAACUCCGAAAAAUUUAUCUUUCAUUUUUACAGCCUCCCAGGCCAACAGGAAUAGUAAUCAAAGCCCCAUUUGCCAUAAAAAUUGUUCAGUCGGAAACCCAUCCCGCAAAAAACCAUUCAAACUCCAAAGGAUUACACACCGUGAUCAGGAAGAACCAUACUUAAAUCAGCCCUUGCAGAGCCUCAGGUUCGCACCACGGGGGAAGCUCAGGAAACCUCCGCGCUCAAGAGUUUAGGGUUUUUCCAAACGGACUGAGCCUUGGGUACCUGGUAGAAGCCUGUAAGCCUACUCCCAAGGAAAUCUACAGCCCAGCCUUCAAAAUAUGCCUAAGAAUAACUUUUCAAGAACAAUGAGAUAAGGAACACACAUCUGAGUGUGUGCACGCGUACACACACACACGCGCGCAAGGCAACUUGAGCAAAAACUAACAGAAAUCGCUACAUCAAAAACAGCCACCACUGGAGUUCCCACUGCGGCACAGUGGAUUAAGAAUCUGAUUGGAGCAGGUCAGGUUGCUGUGGAGGUGCAGGUUCAAUCCCUGGCCCAGCGGGUUAAAGGAUCCAGGGUGGAAUAGGUUGCAGCUGCAGCUCGGAUUCAGUCCCUGGCCCAGGGACUCCAUGUGCCAUGGAUGUGGCCAUGAAAAAACAAAAAAAUACAAAAAAAAAAAAACCACACAAAAAAACAGAGGCACCAGGACUUCAGAUAUUGGAAAUUAUCAGAGUCAUUGCGUGGAAGCAUAAUCUUACCAUCAAAAUUCAAGUAAUAUAGUAUGACAAAGGAAAAGUGAAGACCAAUACAGGCACAGAUAUAGAGCUAAAAUCCCAAACAAAAUGUUAGCAAAGAGAAUCUCGUAACACAUAAUGACACAACAAUCCCCAAAUACACAGCAAUACAUCAAUCUCAAACAAAAUUACUAUGUAGCGCACAGUAGGACAAAAAUCCCCAACAAAAUGCUAGCAAACGGAAUGGAGCAAUACAUAAAAGCACCUAUUACAGAGGGAUCAAAUGAGGUUUCUCCAAGGAAUUCAAGGUGCGUUUCACACUGGAAAUAUCUAAGUGUUAUGAUCAGAGGUACCCAGGCACGUAGCGGGAGAGACACUUCCUUUGGACGGACUUCGAGAGAUUCUCCGACUCGGUAAUAGCCGCACGUUUAUCGCUGGCCAUUCCCUUUUGACUAACUCCUCUGGUUUUAGCUACGUUUACACAAUAUGAAUAUAUUCAGUCAUCUCAGAGCAGAGGCUAUGGAGACUUUGGGUCAAAUUCAGCCCACAGACAGAUGUGUUUUUUUGUUUUUGGUUUUUUUUCAAAUUUUCAUAAGCUUUACUAUUUAUAAGUGAUUUUUAUUUUUUCCAUUCUAGUUGGCUUACAAUGUUCUGUCAAUUUUCUACUGUACAGCAAAGUGACCCAAUCUCUCACACACACGCACACGCACACACACAUUCUUUUUUUUACACUAUCCUCCAUCGUGCUCUGUCCUAAGUGACUAGAUAUAAUUCCCAGUGGCCUGCAGUGGUGUAAAGCCAACACUUAGCAAUUGAGAAAUUUCAAUAAAUCCUGGUUUGUGGGUGGUUUUUUUGGGGGGGCUUCUUUCAAAACAUGAGGUUAUCUGGCAACAAGGGCCCCUGAUUUUCCCCUGGCGACAGUCAGCCGCAGCUGCGGAACAGCUCCUCCCCUUUGGAAACCGUGUGUGUUCUGCUCACGGGUGUCUGCUGUGCUGGCCAAGUGUCACUUGCCAUUGAUCCGCAUGUGUGCUCCCCACUCCCCCCUUGAGAGGAAAAUAAAAUACGUGUUGUUCUAUCUCACGGAUGAGAGAAAAGGCAACUGAACAGAGGGGCCUCUUUGUCACCAAAAAAGAAAAAGAAAACAAGAAAGAAAAGCACACGUUUGUGGAAGUGGUUAUUACGCGAGUACCGGGUCAGCUUCGCUCCUUUCUGUGACCUGUCCGCCUCUGCUGGCGUCACCUUUGUGACCUCUGGGCUAUAGUCACGUCCAAACGUCCUGGGAGAAGUCUGCUUUAUGCUGAGGACUUGCGACUUUCAUACCCCUGUUGACCUCAUCAUUAAACUUCCAGAAUGCGAUCUUGUUUUCCCUGAUUCCCAAGUUUCUGAAAAGCCCUCUCCAGCACCCAAAUGCUGAGAGAACCUAGAAGUCGCCGUCGUUCUCAUGCAUCUCGAACCUCAACUGCAGACCAGCUAACCCUUCGGUUCUCUUUCCUCCCCCGGUGCCACCCCGCCAAAGAAGCUGUUACUGACUCUGGAAAAAAAGAAAAACGCUGCUAGCAGGAAUGUUUACACUGUGACCACAACACGGCACAGUCGGCGGGCAGCCCAAGUGGAAGCUGAGUCUCAUAAACAUUUGCUCCAACGGCAUAAAUAUUAUUCCUGCAUGUGAGGCAACUGGACUCCUUUUCGACUGUUUUGUCUAAUGGACGGGGAAUCGUUACUUAUCAAGUGGUCCCUGCUCUUUGGGGAAGUCACGGCCGGGGACUAUUUCAACCUUACCAGGUGAAGACGCAGCCUGAGUCGACAGGGCGAGACCGCAUCGCUUCAUCCACGUGUUCCCAACCCAGCAGCCACCCUCGGGCUGAAGGAGCCAGGGAGCGGCAAGCAGAUGUGCAAGCCUGUCUCCGACCUGGCCUCUCCUGUUGUAAUAGCAUCACGUGGCACUUACAAUAGGGCUUCUGCCCUGCCGUCUUCCUGUGUUAAAAUACAUAAUUCAAAUUUUUUACAUGUCAAUUCUAUUCCAAGGCCCCAAGAAUGGUCUACCUUUACUUAAAGACGUAUCCAGAAGACAGCUGAUUUUUCUUUGUGAACACACUGGCAAAGAAGCUAUAAAGAUGAUAUAUACAAAGGAGGCGAAGUCGCAUCGGAGAUGCUGUGUCAGAAUAGAGUUGCUUAUAUUCCUAAGCCUGAUUUCUUGUGUUUAGACUCAGCCAUGAGAGAGCGAUCAAGAGAGUGCCAGAGUGUGUGUGUCUAAUACAAGGAAGCUUUAAUAGAGCAAUAUUUGUUUUAAGGGUUAGUCGUAUAAACAGAUGUGAAAGCCAUCUGUUUGCUCUGUAAGUGCUACUUGAAAAUUAUAACAGGGAACUAUAUCUAGUCACUUGCGAUGGAGCGUGAUGGAGGAUAAUGUAAGAAAAAAGAACAUUUACAUGUAUGUGCAACUGGGUCACCUCGCCGUACAGUAGAAAUUUGACAGAACCCUGUAAGUCAGCUAUAGUGGAAAAAAUAAAAAUCAUUGCAUAUUGACAAUAAGAAAAUUAUAACAAAGAACAACGUACCAUUUCAGCAGAUAACAGAAUGUGGUCAGGAUCACACAGUAGUUCACAAUAUACAGCAAGACUAGAAUCCCAGGUCUCCCAAGUCCAAGUUCAGUAGGCCUUCCCAACGAGUGAACCAGACAGACACUAUUUCAGGGAUGGGGUGCUAAGAAGGGUCACGCCGGCAACAUUGGAAUAAAACGCUGGGGGUUCCCAUCAUGGCUCAGUGGUAACGAACUCAACCAGUAUCCAUGAGGAUGCAGGUUCGACCCCUGGCCUCGCUCCCUGGGUGAAGCAUCUGGCGUUGCCACGAGUUGUAUAGGUUGCAGACGAGGCUGGGAUCCCACGUUUGUGGCUGUGAUGUAGGCUGGCAGCUGCAGCUCCGAUUGGACCUCUAGUCUGGGAACUUCCAUACGCCGUGCAGGUGCGGCCCUAAAAAAGCCAAAAAAAAAAAAAAAGAAAGAAAAGAAACACUGAUUCCUCAUACAUAGGUGUUACAUGGGGUUGUAGGAAAUCGUCCCUUUAUCUGGAGACAGUUUGAAAACUUAGAGCCCCUCCAGAUGUCAGUAAAAAGCCAGAUUAGAAUAAAAGGAUAAUUAAAAAACUUAAAUUACGACAUAUUUGAACACCUUUGUGACAUGAGAGGGGCGGUAGGAAAACAUCAACCAGGAAAGUGACCAUCACGGAGUUUCCAUUGUUGGCACUGAGUCCCCAGGAAUGUGCAGGAAAACACUGGAGUAGCAUCUUCUCCAAGGACAUGUAGUGAACCAGGCAGGUCUGGCUGAUGUCAGGUAUGGCAAACACGUCAAGGCUCUCCCAGCCAGGGUCUCUAAGAAACAAGUCAUUUCCUCUGGACCCGCUCUAGGGUCAACCAACCUUCUGGUCGUAAUGUGGUUUCCUUGGUGAGUUUAUCUACGAGGGAGAGAGCGGUUGAGAGGCCAGUAGGAAUGUCUGGCCCGCCUGGCAGUUGUAAUUGCCAAGUAAAUUAAUAAAGGGUCUUUCACGUGUACCUUAGUCUCCAGCAGGUUUUAUUGAGUUGUCUCAACUAGCCAAUGUCCUUAUCACCUUCAAUGAGCACCCCCUCGAAUCCUAAGCGGAAAGGGCAGGUCCUGGACU
This 7225-nucleotide long non-coding RNA is filed under the name Sus scrofa (pig). RNAcentral describes it as "lncRNA (ENSSSCG00035061951.1)". The record is from RNAcentral. Lineage: Eukaryota; Metazoa; Chordata; Mammalia; Artiodactyla; Suidae.